UGGGGAAUUUUGCACAAUGGGCGCAAGCCUGAUGCAGCGACGCCGCGUGAGGGAUGAAGGCCUUCGGGUUGUAAACCUUUUUCGCUCAUGGUCAAGCCGCAGCUUUGGGUUGUGGUGAGGGUAGUGGGUAAAGAAGCGCCGGCUAACUACGUGCCAGCAGCCGCGGUAAUACGUAGGGCGCGAGCGUUGUCCGGAAUUAUUGGGCGUAAAGGGCUUGUAGGCGGUUGGCCGCGUCUGCCGUGAAAUCCUCUGGCUUAACUGGGGGCGUGCGGUGGGUACGGGUUGACUUGAGUGCGGUAGGGGAGACUGGAAUUCCUGGUGUAGCGGUGGAAUGCGCAGAUAUCAGGAGGAACACCGGUGGCGAAGGCGGGUCUCUGGGCCGUUACUGACGCUGCGGAGCGAAAGCGUGGGGAGCGAACAGG
RNAcentral lists this ribosomal RNA (422 nucleotides) under Verrucomicrobiota bacterium. RNAcentral describes it as "Verrucomicrobia bacterium partial 16S ribosomal RNA". It matches the Rfam family "Bacterial small subunit ribosomal RNA", at positions 355 to 776 of the family's 1533-position model. Lineage: Bacteria; Pseudomonadati; Verrucomicrobiota. The record is from RNAcentral.